UACAGAGGGUGCGAGCGUUGUUCGGAAUUAUUGGGCGUAAAGCGCAUGUAGGCGGUCUGUUAAGUCGCGUGUGAAAUCCCCAGGCUCAACCUGGGAAGUGCGCGCGAAACUGGCGGACUUGAGUGCCGGAGAGGGUGGCGGAAUUCCCGGUGUAGAGGUGAAAUUCGUAGAUAUCGGGAGGAACACCAGAGGCGAAGGCGGCCACCUGGACGAACACUGACGCU
Molecule: ribosomal RNA, 224 nt
Filed under: uncultured prokaryote
Description: partial 16S ribosomal RNA
Rfam family: Bacterial small subunit ribosomal RNA
Source: RNAcentral